RNAcentral lists this small nuclear RNA (111 nucleotides) under Diaphorina citri (Asian citrus psyllid). Its description in RNAcentral is "U4 spliceosomal RNA". It matches the Rfam family "U4 spliceosomal RNA". Rfam says of the family: U4 small nuclear RNA (U4 snRNA) is a component of the major U2-dependent spliceosome. The structure of U4 snRNA from yeast and human has been reported. The record is from Rfam by way of RNAcentral. Lineage: Eukaryota; Metazoa; Arthropoda; Insecta; Hemiptera; Psyllidae.
GACUUUUUGCAGCGGCGAUAUAGUAACCAAUGAGGUUUAUUCGAGGUGCGAUUAUUGCUAGUUAAAAACGCAUACUAAAGGCACAAAAUAUCUAACCAGACCAAUGAGGUU